Molecule: long non-coding RNA, 410 nt
Filed under: Brassica napus (rape)
Lineage: Eukaryota; Viridiplantae; Streptophyta; Magnoliopsida; Brassicales; Brassicaceae
Description: long non-coding RNA (BNAP_LNC014434)
Source: RNAcentral
UCGUGAGUUGAUUACUCAUUUGUCCACUUACAUACAUUUAAACUUUUAUAAUAUCAAAGUCUUAUUCAUAAUCUGUUCCAAGUACAAAACACUUGCAAGAACGAGAUUGUUAUUUGAGAGUCAAUGAAACAGACUUCAUCAGUUACUCGGUACAUAUAUGUAAUAUCAUGUGAAAUUUACGUGCCACCUCGGCAACGGUUUUUUUCAGAGCAACCACGUCGGUAUUCGUAGAUGAUAGUAGAAGGUAAUGGUAACGGUGGUGAAGCUUAGGUGAUUUCGAAGAAGACAAAGCAAAUAUGUCGUUUAGGUUGAUUUGGGUGACGUGGCCUAAUUCAAUACUAUGAUAGGUCGAUUUAAUUUACCUACGUGGAUAGUCUAGAUGUUGAUCUUAUUCAAUUUUUAGUAUUGUA